Rhinichthys klamathensis goyatoka is the source of this 489-nucleotide long non-coding RNA. RefSeq lists it as uncharacterized. The record is from RefSeq and is a predicted model, not a curated record. The transcript has 3 exons. NCBI's taxonomy places the organism in Eukaryota, Metazoa, Chordata, Actinopteri, Cypriniformes, Leuciscidae.
UCAAAUAAAUGCAGCCUUUGUGAUCAUAAAAGACUUCUUUCAACAACGUAAAAAAAUAUUACUGACCCCAUACUUUUGAGCGAAAGUGUGUAUACACCUUUUACUGUUUACGACACUGUUUAAUAUUUUAUAAUAUAAUAUUUUAAUAUUUUCUUAAUGUCCACAGGCAUUGUUUUCAUCAUUUUAGGUUCGUAUCGUGAAUAUAAACAGAGAGGUUCAUACAAUACUGGAGAAGGCCAGAGGACAAAAGAAGAGUUAUUGCUAAAUCAAAGUCUGUAAACCCAAGGGCAAACAAUCGGACGGCUCCUUUGUUCUAGCGCUGUUCCUGCAAGUGGACUGCUUGAAGUUGAAGUUUUAAACUUCAGUGUUGUAUUUUAUAAACUAGAUAUUUUAUUUAUUUAUAAUUGCUAUAUAAUGUUUUGCUUCCAGUUAUUGAUGAAAACACAAGAUGGUAUUUUUGUAUAUGUUAAUAAAGAUGUUUAUACUUGA